Molecule: ribosomal RNA, 497 nt
Filed under: uncultured bacterium
Lineage: Bacteria
Description: partial 16S ribosomal RNA
Rfam family: Bacterial small subunit ribosomal RNA
Source: RNAcentral
GAUGAACGCUGGCGGCGUGCCUAAUACAUGCAAGUCGAGCGAACAGAUGAGGAGCUUGCUCCUCUGACGUUAGCGGCGGACGGGUGAGUAACACGUGGAUAACCUACCUAUAAGACUGGGAUAACUUCGGGAAACCGGAGCUAAUACCGUAUAAUAUAUUGAACCGCAUGGUUCAAUAGUGAAAGACGGUUUUGCUGUCACUUAUAGAUGUAUCCGCGCCGCAUUAGCUAGUUGGUAAGGUAACGGCUUACCAAGGCAACGAUGCGUAGCCGACCUGAGAGGGUGAUCGGCCACACUGGAACUGAGACACGGUCCAGACUCCUACGGGAGGCAGCAGUAGGGAAUCUUCCGCAAUGGGCGAAAGCCUGACGGAGCAACGCCGCGUGAGUGAUGAAGGUCUUCGGAUCGUAAAACUCUGUUAUUAGGGAAGAACAAAUGUGUAAGUAACUAUGCACGUCUUGACGGUACCUAAUCAGAAAGCCACGGCUAACUACGUG